UGCGUAGGUGGCAAGGCAAGUCAGAUGUGAAAGCCCGGGGCUCAACCCCGGUACUGCAUUUGAAACUGUCUAGCUAGAGUGCAGGAGAGGUAAGCGGAAUUCCUAGUGUAGCGGUGAAAUGCGUAGAUAUUAGGAGGAACACCAGUGGCGAAGGCGACCUACUGGGCACCAACUGACGCUGAGGCUCGAAAGCAUGGGUAGCAAACA
Molecule: ribosomal RNA, 207 nt
Filed under: uncultured bacterium
Lineage: Bacteria
Description: partial 16S ribosomal RNA
Rfam family: Bacterial small subunit ribosomal RNA
Source: RNAcentral